CAAUUACAAAAUUAUAAUAAACGUAAUAGUAAUGUUACAAUAAGCACUAAUCUGCAAAAUAUAUUAAAAAAUGAUAAGAUAUGUAAUAUAGAGAAAAAACAAAUGGACUAUAAUAAAAAAAUAUAUACUAAAGAUUUUAAUACGUAUAACAAUAAUAGUUAUAAAUGUACAACAGAUACUAAUCACAUGCUUGAUCGGUGUAUGAAUAUGAUUUUAUAUCACUAUCAAUUAUUAUACAUAUUGUAUAAAUUAAAGCAAAUAUAUACCUUUUCAUUUUCUUUUGUCAAAAGUUGUAUAAACUUUAUUUUUCAACAUUGGAUAUAUGUAAAAGCUAAACUUAUUACUAAUAUUCAUUCGAAAAAAAGUGUUACUUAUUUAUAUAAUAAAAUAAUGUAUCUUCUUGUUUUCUCAAAAGUGGAAAUAGAACAAAAGAAAAAUAUACAUAUGUGCGGAAUAGAGGACUACGUGGUUGGCAUGGAUACCGCUGAUGCUGUAGGUACCUUGUCUGUAACAGCAGAUAAAACGGCAGAUAAAACGGCAGAUAUAACGGCAGAUAAAACGGCAGAUAAAAUAGAACACGAAAUAAGAAAGACAAACGAUACAACACACUUAGGUAUUAAAAACGAGAUAGAAACAAAAGAUAUCAAAAACAAUAACACGACCAUCUUUGCAAAUAAGAACAGUGAUAAUUACACUCGGGGGGGCAAUAAAACCAAAGAGGAUUAUAACGAACAAACUUACAGGUUAUAUGAUUAUCUUUUAAAUAGCCUUACUUAUUAUUUUGAUUACACAACAAAAAAUAAUUAUAACAUUAUACAGAAAAAUGAUUCCUAUGUUGUUACAAGUGACGUUAAAAAUGAUAUUAUUACACAUGACAUAGUUAAACCAACUAUCAGUUAUUUUCCUUUUUUUGUUCAACUCUUAUAUAAUAAAGAUAUUAUUAAUCACUAUAACUUAACAAUAAUCGUUUAUAACAAAAUGAAUUUGAAAAAAAUUGGUUAUUGUUUUGAUCUUAUUUGGGAACAAAUUAAGAAUAGGAUAGUAGUACAACAUGGCCAUCCAAACGAACCCACUAAACUGUUGCUAAAUGACAUCAACGGGGUUGUUUCAAAAUAUGUUAAGAAAAAUUGUUUUAUAAUAAAAACUAUUCCAAGUAAUAAAAAGUCCAAACUGUACAGAAACGUCAUGAAAGGUGUAUUUACGAAAGUAUUUCCUCGAUUUCGUAACGAAGAAAAAAAACGUAGUAAUAUUAAUCAAAUAUAUAAAAAGGACCAUAAUCAAUUAAAAAACAUAUUUAUGCAUUCUAAAUUUAUGAACUUUGAAAGUUGUGAUACAUACGAAAAAAAUAUUAUUCAUAUUUUUACAUCUAUGAUUAGUAAUUAUAUGAAAUAUAUAGAAAAAGAAACUAAUUCAAAAAAAGCAAUAAAAGCAAACAAAAAGGUAAUAGUACAUAAAAAAGUAAACGAAAGUGAAAAGAAAAAGAAAAAACAUAAUUUAAGAUUGAGCGAAAAUAAAAACGACAACACAAAAGUGUUUAUAAAUAUAAUGAAUAAACAAAAAACACAUAUGAAUCCACAAGUAGUAGGAAUAAAAAUAAAUCUUAAGCAAAUCGAUUUGUCCAAGUUACUUACAUAUAUACACAUGUACGGUCCGAAAAACUAUAUGCAAACAAAUAAAAAUAUACAGAAAUUGUGUUUUACAUUAAACGAAAUAAAACAUAUCAUAAAUAAUAGCCGAUAUAUAAAAACUGUGGUACAAUCUGAUAAAGCAAUAGUAAGAAAACGUAUAGAAACUAAAAAAGCGAAUAAUACUACAAGUAAGGAUACUACUUCGACUGCGAGUGCUGCUGGUGCAACAGAAACUACAACUGCUAAUACCAUUACUAGUAGUAACAACCAUGAUGAGGACGAUGUUAAUGGUAACAAUAGUAUAAAAAUUUUAAAAGAAAUAAAACAAACAGAAGAAAAAAAUAGUAAAUUAGUUAAUGAAGUAUAUGACAUUAUUAGCGAAUACGAUGAAACAAGUUCUGAACACAAUUCGGUGAAAAUAGAAAAACCAUAUUCUUUAAUAAUUCAAAAGAAAGAACAGGACAAGUCAAAAGGUAGGAACGGUAAUAGCAACAGCAGCAAUAGCAGCAGCAGUAGCAACGGUAAUAAUAUGAUAAAAAAGGAUGAUAAUAUAAAAAAUGUUAAAGAACAUAAAUUAUACUACAUAGAAGAAUUCAGUCCUGAGCUAAAAAAAAACAUGCCCUUUAGUGCUAAUGAUAAUAAUUGUGUAAGGGCUGAAAAAAUAGAAGAGAAAACAAAAAAUCCAAGAGGACACGCAUUAUUAACAUUGGUAGAUAAAGUAAAAACAAUUGAAAACAAAAAUAACCAUGUGAUUUCAAAAUUAAAAGAUGUUAUUAAAGUAACAAAUAAUAAAACAAAAAUUAUCUAUCACAUUUUGUCCAAUUUUAAAAUAUUACAAAAUACUAUUAGUCUUUUAUUAAAAUAUAUUAUGAUAAAUGAAAAGAAUAUGAAAGACUUAAAUGAAAACAUGAAAAAAGUAAACCUCUUUUUUAAAUUUAUUAAAAAUAUAUGUAUUGUACAAUUUAACGAACCAAAUGAAAAUGAUACUCUUGAACUAUUUAAAAGUUUAUGUAAUGAGUUUAAAGAUUUGUUAUUUGAUAAAUAUGAACAAAAAAUAUAUUUUGACACCACUAAUAGAAAACAUUAUCCUUUAUGUGAUAACAAUAAUACAAAAAAUAACACUGCUAAUAUAUAUCCUGACCAACCUAUAAAUUUACAUUGG
Piliocolobus tephrosceles (Ugandan red Colobus) is the source of this 2790-nucleotide long non-coding RNA. The record is from Ensembl. NCBI's taxonomy places the organism in Eukaryota, Metazoa, Chordata, Mammalia, Primates, Cercopithecidae.